GACGAACGCUGGCGGCGUGCCUAAUACAUGCAAGUAGAACGCUGAAGGAGGAGCUUGCUUCUCCGGAUGAGUUGCGAACGGGUGAGUAACGCGUAGGUAACCUGCCUGGUAGCGGGGGAUAACUAUUGGAAACGAUAGCUAAUACCGCAUAACAGUAGAUAUUGCAUGAUAUCUGCUUGAAAGGUGCAAUUGCAUCACUACCAGAUGGACCUGCGUUGUAUUAGCUAGUUGGUGGGGUAACGGCUCACCAAGGCGACGAUACAUAGCCGACCUGAGAGGGGGGUCGGCCACACUGGGACUGAGACACGGCCCAGACUCCUACGGGAGGCAGCAGUAGGGAAUCUUCGGCCAUGGACGGAAGUCUGACCGAGCAACGCCGCGUGAGUGAAGAAGGUUUUCGGAUCGUAAAGCUCUGUUGUAAGAGAAGAACGAGUGUGAGAGUGGAAAGUUCACACUGUGACGGUAUCUUACCAGAAAGGGACGGCUAACUACGUG
This 495-nucleotide ribosomal RNA is filed under the name uncultured bacterium. RNAcentral describes it as "partial 16S ribosomal RNA". It matches the Rfam family "Bacterial small subunit ribosomal RNA", at positions 28 to 507 of the family's 1533-position model. The record is from RNAcentral.